Daphnia carinata is the source of this 1541-nucleotide long non-coding RNA. RefSeq lists it as uncharacterized. The transcript has 9 exons. The record is from RefSeq and is a predicted model, not a curated record. Lineage: Eukaryota; Metazoa; Arthropoda; Branchiopoda; Diplostraca; Daphniidae.
CUGUGUCGUAUGGGAUUACGAGUAACGAGUUAAAUCUGUCUUUGAUUUGUUCGUUAAACUCUUAUUUUCCGAAGGAUAAUUCAACUUAAAUCAGACUCAGUUACCCUUGUCAUCCAGAAGAUAAGCUACGGAACCAGACAGUUAUCUGCCUAACUCUCACUUUCCAUCAUGCUGUUUGCUCAAUUGAGCAGGACUCGAGCUCUGCCUACUGCUGCUUAUGGGCACAAUUUGUUUACUACUAUCAAGGUUGUGCACCUAAAAUCUUUGGAUGCUGACACUGGAGUUCAGUGACAUAUUUUCUGAUGUGUGAAGAAAAGCAUCUACUUUGGGUUGCAAAUCAUCAAGAGCCAGCACUUCUAAAGCCUUCUCGUCUUUACUUAGCCAGCAAAACAUGCAUAUACUUCAAUGCCCUCACUCCAUUGGACCAACAAAUUUUCAUCUUCUUUCUACAUAGCAUCUGCUACUUUGUGUUGUGAACCAUCAAGCACCACCACUUCUGAAGCCUUAUCAUUACUUGGCCAGAAAAACCUGCAUAAACUUCAACGCCAUCACCUAAUUGGACUGACAAUUUUCAUCGUAUUUCUACAUAGCAUCAUCUACUUUGUGUUUCUAACCAUAAAGUGCCACCACUUCUGAAGCCUUAUCAUCUUUACUUGGCCAGCAAAACCUGCAUAAUCUUUAACAACAUCACUUCAUUGGACUGACAAUUUUCAUCGUAUUUCUACAUAGCAUCAUCUACUUUGUGUUUCUAACCAUAAAGUGCCACCACUUCUGAAGCCUUAUCAUCUUUACUUGGCCAGCAAAACCUGCGUAAUCUUUAACAACAUCACUUCAUUGGACCGACAAAUUUUCAUCUUCCUGCUGUAAAAUUCGACGUUGGACGAUUUGCCUGUUUCCCGCUCCCGACGACCAAGAUACGUAAGAAUUAUCUAUUUUCCGUCCAGCUCAUAUUCAACCAUCGACAUUCCGGUUUUCCCGUCUUCUGCUCAGGCUAUUUAAAAUAAUGCCAUGACAUCGCAAAAAGCAGAAAGUGACGUAUCAGGAUGCAGCCUAGCGGAUAGACGACGAACGAAAAGGAUUUCACCGUGGGAGGCCUUGUAUGUAUUGUAUUGUCUUGUUGUUUACUGUAUGUAACUAGUUAACCCGUUGGCUGCCACCCCGUUUGCUCCCAUUUUUUUUGUAGUUGUAGGGACCUGGGCGCUGUUCUCCUCAUGGCCAUGGGGGGAACAGUCGCCGUUGCGCCUAAUGGCUUUAUGCCAUUAGGCGUUAGGCAAUGCACCAGUAGGGACUUCUCUUUGUCGGCACGGUGAGAGAUAUCCUGGGGUGUGCAUUCCCAGAAUGGACUCUAUCACCGUGCCAGCCCGGGCUUGUCUUCGGACAAGCCCCACCUUGGUCGGGGAUCCUUAAGGCACGACGCGUAGCAACUGUAGUUUAAGCAACCUACGGGUUGCGGUGGCCUGGCAGCCAACGGGUUAACUAGUUAGUUGUAUAUGUAUGUUUGUAUGUGUAUUGUAUGUAUUGUAUGUAUUGUAUGUAUUGUA